Molecule: ribosomal RNA, 468 nt
Filed under: uncultured bacterium
Lineage: Bacteria
Description: partial 16S ribosomal RNA
Rfam family: Bacterial small subunit ribosomal RNA
Source: RNAcentral
GACGAACGCUGGCGGCGUGCUUAACACAUGCAAGUCGAACGGAAAGGCCCUGCUUUUGUGGGGUGCUCGAGUGGCGAACGGGUGAGUAACACGUGAGUAACCUGCCCUUGACUUUGGGAUAACUUCAGGAAACUGGGGCUAAUACCGGAUAGGAGCUCCUGCUGCAUGGUGGGGGUUGGAAAGUUUCGGCGGUUGGGGAUGGACUCGCGGCUUAUCAGCUUGUUGGUGGGGUAGUGGCUUACCAAGACUUUGACGGGUAGCCGGCCUGAGAGGGUGACCGGCCACAUUGGGACUGAGAUACGGCCCAGACUCCUACGGGAGGCAGCAGUGGGGAAUAUUGCACAAUGGGCGGAAGCCUGAUGCAGCAACGCCGCGUGCGGGAUGACGGCCUUCGGGUUGUAAACCGCUUUCGCCUGUGACGAAGCGUGAGUGACGGUAAUGGGUAAAGAAGCACCGGCUAACUACGUG